AUACGGAGGAUGCAAGCGUUAUCCGGAUUUAUUGGGUUUAAAGGGUUCGUAGGCGGAAAAUUAAGUCAGUGGUGAAAGCCUGCAGCUCAACUGCAGAACUGCCAUUGAUACUGAGUUUCUUGAAUUUAUAUGAAGUGGGCGGAAUGCGUCAUGUAGCGGUGAAAUGCACAGAUAUGACGCAGAACACCAAUUGCGAAGGCAGCUCACUAAUGUAAUAUUGACGCUGAGGAACGAAAGCAUGGGGAGCGAACAGGAUUAGAUACCCUAGUAGUCC
Molecule: ribosomal RNA, 274 nt
Filed under: uncultured bacterium
Lineage: Bacteria
Description: partial 16S ribosomal RNA
Rfam family: Bacterial small subunit ribosomal RNA
Source: RNAcentral